CUGCAGCCCGAGUGGUGAUCGAUUUUAUUGAGCCUAAAGCGUCCGUAGCCGGACUAGUAAACCCUUGGGUAAAUUGGGCAGCUUAACUGUCCAAAUUCCGAGGGGACUGCUAGUCUUGGGACCGGGAGAGGUCAGAGGUACUCAAGGGGUAGGGGCUAAAUCCUGUAAUCCUUUGGGGACCACCAGUGGCGAAGGCGUCUGACUAGAACGGAUUCGACGGUGAGGGACGAAGCCCUGGGGCGCAAACCGGAUUAGAGACCCGAGUAGUCC
Molecule: ribosomal RNA, 270 nt
Filed under: uncultured archaeon
Lineage: Archaea
Description: partial 16S ribosomal RNA
Rfam family: Archaeal small subunit ribosomal RNA
Source: RNAcentral